UCCGGGUUAUCCCCGGCAGUCUCCCUAGAGUGCCCGGCCGGACCGCUGGCUACUAAGGAUAAGGGUUGCGCUCGUUGCGGGACUUAACCCAACAUCUCACGACACGAGCUGACGACAACCAUGCACCACCUGUCUCCAUUGUCCCGAAGGAAGGCAGACGUUACUCUGCUGGUCAAUGGGAUGUCAAGACCUGGUAAGGUUCUUCGCGUUGCGUCGAAUUAAACCACAUGCUCCACCGCUUGUGCGGGUCCCCGUCAAUUCCUUUGAGUUUCAUUCUUGCGAACGUACUCCCCAGGUGGAAUACUUACUGCGUUAGCUGCGGCACCGAAGUCCGUUUGGACCCCGACACCUAGUAUUCAUCGUUUACAGCGUGGACUAC
This 379-nucleotide unclassified non-coding RNA is filed under the name uncultured Lachnospiraceae bacterium. RNAcentral's name for it is "contains 16S-23S intergenic spacer region". The record is from RNAcentral. Lineage: Bacteria; Bacillati; Bacillota; Clostridia; Lachnospirales; Lachnospiraceae.